UUGUCUUUUAAAUGAAGACCCGUAUGAAUGGCACAACGAGGGCUUAACUGUCUCCUUUUUCCAGUCAAUGAAAUUGAUCUUCCCGUGCAGAAGCGGGAAUUCCUACAUAAGACGAGAAGACCCUAUGGAGCUUUAGACACCAGAAUAGACUAUGUUAAGCGCCCCCAAUAAAAUGAGCAAAACCAAUUAAUCCCUAUUCUAAUGUCUUUGGUUGGGGCGACCGCGGGGAAAUAAAAAACCCCCAUGUGGACCGGGAACACCUCAUUCCUACAACCCAGAGUUACAACUCAAAGUAACAGAACUUCUGACCAGCUGAUCCGGCAUUAGCCGAUCGACGGACCGAGUUACCCUAGGGAUAACAGCGCAAUCCUCUUUUAGAGCCCAUAUCGACAAGAGGGUUUACGACCUCGAUGUUGGAUCAGGACAUCCUAAU
RNAcentral lists this ribosomal RNA (433 nucleotides) under Chromidotilapia regani. Its description in RNAcentral is "partial 16S ribosomal RNA". It matches the Rfam family "Bacterial large subunit ribosomal RNA", at positions 1969 to 2551 of the family's 2925-position model. Lineage: Eukaryota; Metazoa; Chordata; Actinopteri; Cichliformes; Cichlidae. The record is from RNAcentral.